Molecule: ribosomal RNA, 497 nt
Filed under: uncultured bacterium
Lineage: Bacteria
Description: partial 16S ribosomal RNA
Rfam family: Bacterial small subunit ribosomal RNA
Source: RNAcentral
GAUGAACGCUGGCGGCGUGCCUAAUACAUGCAAGUCGAGCGAACAGACGAGGAGCUUGCUCCUUUGACGUUAGCGGCGGACGGGUGUGUCACACGUGGAUAACCUACCUAUAAGACUGGGAAAACCUCGGGAAACCGGAGCUUAUACCGGAUGAUAUAUUGAACCGCAUGGUUCAAUAGUGAAAGACGGCUUUGCUGUCACUUAUAGAUGGAUCCCGGCCGCAUUAGCUAGUUGGUAAGGUAACGGCUUACCAAGGGUACGAUGCGUGGCCGACCUGAUAGGCGGAUCGGCCACCCUGGAACUGGGACACGGUCCAGGCGACUGCGGGAGGCAGCAGUAGGGAAUCUGCCGCAGUGGGCGAAAACUUUGCGGAGCAGCGCCGCGUGUGUGGUGAAGGUCUUCGGAUCGUAAAGCUCUGUUAUUAGUGAAGAACAGAUUUGUAAGUAACCAUGCACGUCUCGACGGUACCUAAUCAGAAAGCCACGGCUAACUACGUG